CGCCUCUUGCAUUCCAAAGUAUAAGAGGUCCCACCUGCCCUGUGACUCUAAGUUUAACGGCCGCGGUAUUCUAACCGUGCGAAGGUAGCGCAAUCAAUUGCCUUUUAAAUGAAGGCCUGUAUGAAUGGUAUAACGAGGGUCUAGCUGUCUCUUUUUUCUAGUCAGUUAAACUGAUCUGUCCGUGCAGAAGCGGACAUUAAUAUACAAGACGAGAAGACCCUAUGGAGCUUUAGACACUAGCCAACUGUGAAUAAGCGACUGAACUGAGCAAGUCCUAAAUACCCGCAGCCUUGUGGUAAUGUAGUCUUAGGUUGGGGCGACCACGGGAGAAAGUAAAGCUCCCAAGCAGACCGGGAAAACCCUUAAGCCGAGAGUUGCAACUCUAAGCCGCAAAAUUUUUGACUGAAAUGAUCCGGUUGAAAAACCGAUUAACGAACCAAGUUACCCUAGGGAUAACAGCGCAAUCCUCUCCCAGAGUCCCUAUCGACGAGGGGGUUUACGACCUCGAUGUUGGAUCAGGACAUCCUAAUGGUGCAGCCGCUAUUAAGGGUUCGUUUGUUCAACGAUUAAAGUCCU
Molecule: ribosomal RNA, 576 nt
Filed under: Engraulis japonicus (Japanese anchovy)
Lineage: Eukaryota; Metazoa; Chordata; Actinopteri; Clupeiformes; Engraulidae
Description: partial 16S ribosomal RNA
Rfam family: Bacterial large subunit ribosomal RNA
Source: RNAcentral